GAAUAUUGGACAAUGGGUGAGAGCCUGAACCAGCCAUGCCGCGUGCAGGAAGACGGCCUUCUGGGUUGUAAACUGCUUUUACCAGGGGGUAAAACGACUCUGCGGAGUUAAUUGAAGGUACCUGGAGAAUAAGCACCGGCUAACUACGUGCCAGCAGCCGCGGUAAUACGUAGGGUGCAAGCGUUGUCCGGAUUUAUUGGGUUUAAAGGGUGCGUAGGCGGGCUAUUAAGUCAGUGGUGAAAUCCAACAGCUCAACUGUUGAUGUGCCAUUGAUACUGGUAGCCUUGAGUACAGAUGAGGUAGGCGGAAUUGACAGUGUAGCGGUGAAAUGCAUAGAUAUUGUCAAGAACUCCGAUAGCGAAGGCAGCUUACUGGGCUGUAACUGACGCUGAUGCACGAAAGUGUGGGGAUCAAACAGG
Molecule: ribosomal RNA, 419 nt
Filed under: uncultured bacterium
Lineage: Bacteria
Description: bacterial SSU rRNA
Rfam family: Bacterial small subunit ribosomal RNA
Source: RNAcentral